This 858-nucleotide ribosomal RNA is filed under the name uncultured bacterium. RNAcentral describes it as "bacterial SSU rRNA". It matches the Rfam family "Bacterial small subunit ribosomal RNA", at positions 8 to 916 of the family's 1533-position model. The record is from RNAcentral.
AGAGUUUGAUCAUGGCUCAGAACGAACGCUGGCGGCAGGCCUAACACAUGCAAGUCGGACGCAUCCUUCGGGAUGAGUGGCGGACGGGUUAGUAACGCGUGGGAAUAUGCCCCUGGGUAAGGAACAACAGCUGGAAACGGCUGCUAAUACCUUAUGAUGUCUACGGACCAAAGAUUUAUCGCCCAGGGAUUAGCCCGCGUUGGAUUAGCUAGUUGGAGAGGUAACGGCUCACCAAGGCAACGAUCCAUAGCUGGUUUGAGAGGAUGAUCAGCAACACUGGGACUGAGACACGGCCCAGACUCCUACGGGAGGCAGCAGUGGGGAAUCUUAGACAAUGGGGGCAACCCUGAUCUAGCCAUGCCGCGUGAUCGAUGAAGGCCUUAGGGUUGUAAAGAUCUUUCGCCGGGGACGAUAAUGACGGUACCCGGAGAAGAAGUCCCGGCUAACUUCGUGCCAGCAGCCGCGGUAAUACGAAGGGGACUAGCGUUGUUCGGAAUUACUGGGCGUAAAGCGCGUGUAGGCGGAUCAAUUAGUCAGGGGUGAAAUCCCGGGGCUCAACCCCGGAACUGCCUUUGAUACUGUUGGUCUAGAGACCGGUAGAGGUGAGUGGAAUUCCGAGUGUAGAGGUGAAAUUCGUAGAUAUUCGGAGGAACACCAGUGGCGAAGGCGGCUCACUGGACCGGUACUGACGCUGAGACGCGAAAGUGUGGGGAGCAAACAGGAUUAGAUACCCUGGUAGUCCACACCGUAAACGAUGAAUGCCAGCCGUCGGGGGGCAUGCCCUUCGGUGGCGCAGCUAACGCUUUAAGCAUUCCGCCUGGGGAGUACGGCCGCAAGGUUAAACUCAAGGAUUGACGG